This 537-nucleotide ribosomal RNA is filed under the name Ascomycota sp. ARIZ CVAsh3-10. RNAcentral describes it as "eukaryotic LSU rRNA". The stretch from base 184 to 337 matches the Rfam family "5.8S ribosomal RNA". Lineage: Eukaryota; Fungi; Ascomycota. The record is from RNAcentral.
UCGUAACAAGGUUUCCGUAGGUGAACCUGCGGAAGGAUCAUUACCUAGAGUUGUAGGCUUUGCCUGCUAUCUCUUACCCAUGUCUUUUGAGUACCUUACGUUUCCUCGGCGGGUCCGCCCGCCGAUUGGACAAUUUAAACCAUUUGCAGUUGCAAUCAGCGUCUGAAAAAACUUAAUAGUUACAACUUUCAACAACGGAUCUCUUGGUUCUGGCAUCGAUGAAGAACGCAGCGAAAUGCGAUAAGUAGUGUGAAUUGCAGAAUUCAGUGAAUCAUCGAAUCUUUGAACGCACAUUGCGCCCCUUGGUAUUCCAUGGGGCAUGCCUGUUCGAGCGUCAUUUGUACCUUCAAGCUCUGCUUGGUGUUGGGUGUUUGUCUCGCCUCUGCGUGUAGACUCGCCUCAAAACAAUUGGCAGCCGGCGUAUUGAUUUCGGAGCGCAGUACAUCUCGCGCUUUGCACUCAUAACGACGACGUCCAAAAGUACAUUUUUACACUCUUGACCUCGGAUCAGGUAGGGAUACCCGCUGAACUUAAGCA